UCGUCGACCUGCUGCGGGCAGAUGAAAUGGAUGUGCACGUCGAGCCCGCCGGCGGUCAGGAUCUUGCCCUCGCCGGCCAGAGCCUCGGUGCCCGGGCCGAUCACGAUGUCGACGCCGGGCUGGACGUCCGGAUUGCCGGCCUUGCCGAUACCGACGAUGCGGCCGUCGCGCACCCCGAUGUCGGCCUUGAACACGCCAGUAUGGUCGAGAACCGUGGCGUUGGUGAUCACCAGAUCGACCGCACCGUCGGCCCGGCUCGCCUGGCUCUGUCCCAUGCCGUCGCGG
This 285-nucleotide small RNA is filed under the name alpha proteobacterium BAL199. RNAcentral's name for it is "5' ureB small RNA". It matches the Rfam family "5' ureB small RNA". The record is from Rfam by way of RNAcentral. Lineage: Bacteria; Pseudomonadati; Pseudomonadota; Alphaproteobacteria.